GACGAACGCCGGCGGCGUGCCUAAUACAUGCAAGUCGAGCGAAGUUUUUCUGGUGCUUGCACCGGAAAAACUUAGCGGCGAACGGGUGAGUAACACGUAAAGAACCUGCCUCAUAGACUGGGACAACUAUUGGAAACGAUAGCUAAUACCGGAUAACAGCAUUAACUGCAUGGUUGAUGUUUAAAAGUUGGUUUUGCUAACACUAUGAGAUGGCUUUGCGGUGCAUUAGCUAGUUGGUGGGGUAAAGGCCUACCAAGGCGACGAUGCAUAGCCGACCUGAGAGGGUGAUCGGCCACACUGGGACUGAGACACGGCCCAGACUCCUACGGGAGGCAGCAGUAGGGAAUCUUCCGCAAUGGGCGAAAGCCUGACGGAGCAACGCCGCGUGAGUGAAGAAGGAUUUCGGUUCGUAAAGCUCUGUUGUUAGGGAAGAAUGAUUGUGUAGUAACUAUACACAGUAGAGACGGUACCUAACCAGAAAGCC
RNAcentral lists this ribosomal RNA (484 nucleotides) under Gemella haemolysans. RNAcentral describes it as "bacterial SSU rRNA". It matches the Rfam family "Bacterial small subunit ribosomal RNA", at positions 28 to 492 of the family's 1533-position model. The record is from RNAcentral. Lineage: Bacteria; Bacillati; Bacillota; Bacilli; Caryophanales; Gemellaceae.